RNAcentral lists this transfer RNA (73 nucleotides) under Paulinella chromatophora. RNAcentral describes it as "tRNA-Ala". It matches the Rfam family "tRNA". From Rfam's summary of the family: Transfer RNA (tRNA) molecules are approximately 80 nucleotides in length. Their secondary structure includes four short double-helical elements and three loops (D, anti-codon, and T loops). Lineage: Eukaryota; Cercozoa; Imbricatea; Euglyphida; Paulinellidae. RNAcentral also lists the same sequence under 1 other name. The record is from RNAcentral.
GGGGCCAUAGCUCAGUUGGUAGAGCACCUGCAUGGCAUGCAGGGGGUCAGGAGUUCGAAUCUCCUUGGCUCCA